This is a long non-coding RNA of Carassius auratus (goldfish), 2596 nucleotides long. Lineage: Eukaryota; Metazoa; Chordata; Actinopteri; Cypriniformes; Cyprinidae. The record is from Ensembl.
AAUGUUUUCAUUUUAAUGUUUAUUUUUACAUUCAUCUUUAAAAAAUUAUGAUUUUUUUUUCCAGUAUAUUAUACAUAACCAUCUAUUCACCUAAAAAAAUAUAUAUAUGUAAUGGAUGAUGUCCUGUUAUAAUGACAAAAUAACAAAGCAGGGGUUUCUUAUCACCCUGAAGGAGUUUAUUACAAAGAGUAAACAGAAUAGAGUUUAUAAACAAACUGGCUGUACAUUAUCACUAAAUAGAAAAUAAAUACUGAUUCAAGCUGAAAUUAUUUCAUUACGUGAAAAAAAGAAAACAAAUAGACCCCAGAGUGAUAUGAAAUACAUGAAACUAGCACAGCUACUGUAAAAAAUUUCUGUAAAUUUACAGCAUAUUAACAGCGUAAAUAUACAGUACUGAACUGUUUUCUAAAAUUACGGUGUCUUACCGUAAAUGCACACGUGAUCGGUGGGAGAGGGGGAACCAAAGGCUAGCUGACGCAUGGAGGAGAAUGGAUUCAGUCAAAGUUUUAUGGAUUUCAUCUCAAGUUGAGGCUCAUUUACAGAUUGCAGAUAACGAGGAUAUGAAGAACAUGAAGAUGGACUGGUUUCACAUGCAGAUGUUGCAGCAUCUGCAUCUGAUGUUGAGAAGACACUCAAUCUACCUGCCAAUCCUCAUCAGAUUUUGCUGGUGUCCAGUCAACAUUUUUGACUGCAGUUGCAACAGUGUUUGCUGUGUACUACAUCUUCAACCUGCAGUAUCAAGAGGCGGCUUGUUGCACGUUAGAAUUUUUUCAAAGAUGAUUCUAUGGAAUAAACCCAGAAAGAGGCUCAAAGACCUGCCGAGGCAAGGUAGUCUCCAAGAAGACGGGGAAGGUGGUGAAUAAGAAGUCCACUACAGUCAAUCCAAAGGUUGCCACUCUACAAAAAAAUCGAAUGGACUUCAAAUGGGACUUCAUCUAGGCAAGUGAAGUUACACAUACAUUUUCAUUAAAUACAGUUCUUAAUACAACUUAUUUCACAGUUUACACACAUAGAAUAUUUCUCACAUUUAAACUUGUUUAACAAAAAAAAAAAUCAACAUUUAAAAGUAGUCAGUUGAAAAAGACUGAUGUGACUCAUUUUGGUUACUAACGUUGCGUCCCUGUAGUUUGCAUUGCAUAAAAUAAAAUAAUUUACAGCAAAGAAACGGUUUUAUAAAUAAAAUAUCCACAAACCUAUAUUUGACCCAAAAAAAAGUCGUCAGUGGCACUGAGAACUACCCUGAAGAGGAUACAGUCCGCACUCAUUACAACCCCUAUGUUGUUGCGACUGUUCAGUCCCAGGUUACACAAAAACUGCGGGUUCGAGCCCUGCUCGGAGCGAGUCGUUGCUGCUGCUGCUCUCGUUCAGUUUCAGCCUCGGGUAAAACAAGCAUCUUCGAAAUGCAGGGAACAAACACAAACACUUGCACAACUCCGUUGAUGCUCUGUAAAAAUAAACUCCAUCCACUGGUCCCUUAAUGCUGUUUUUUUUUUUGGUAAUCUGUGCAGGGUUGUCUUGCCCUGGCAACCAAAAACACACUUCUUUUGUGACAUUUCGCGACGCUCUCGCUCUGAUCAGUGAUUGUCUGUGCUGCUCAGCCUCGCAAUACGGGAGCACGCGCUCUUCUUCUUCUCUAGUAAAGAGCGCGCGCUCUUCCGGCCAACGUGCCCUCAGGACCCAUAUAAGGAAAUUCCGCUCCAUCUAACGUCACACAGAGCCAUACUCGAAAAAAACUUUCCGAAACUUGUGACAAACAGGAAGAGGUAUUUUUGGAACAGAAAUACUCCUUCAAACGUACAACUUAAUUUUUGAAACUUUGUCCUUGUUUAGCAUGUAAAAAACUCAGUAUGCAUGAAAUAGCAUUUCACCCCCCCUUUAAUCUAGUGUUCCUUUUUUUGAUUAGCUAAUUAAUCCUUUGGAUAACUUUACAAAAAUUAUUAGUACAACUUCUAACAUAAUAUUGUAACUUUUAUUAAUUAAUACACUAAUCCACAUCGCGAUUUCAGUUAGUGUACAACACUAUUUUAUUAUAUUCAUCACAAAUGUGACAAAUUCUGUGACAAUCCACAUUAUUUGCCUAAUUCCGUUUUCAUGAUUGGAUUCCGUGAUUGCUAGGGAUGCACGAUAUUGGAUUUUGGCCGAUAUUCGAUAUGCCGAUAUUUUCAAAAUAAUUUUGGCCGAUGCCGAUACCGAUAUCGAUAUAUAUACAAAUAUAUACUGAUAUAUUUAAACUUUAAUUUUACUGAAGAGAAAUCCAUGUAUCUCUUCUGUACUGAUUCUACCAUAAAUUUAUUAUUUUACAAAUGUAGACAGACAUUCACAUCUGAAAAACAGGUCAAUUAUUUCACUUGGAGAAUAUCGGUUUGGCUCAUCGGCAGAAAUAUUCAUAUCGGCCGAUACCGAUAAUGGUCAUUUUAAGCUUUUAUCGGCCGAUACCGAUAUUGUGCCGAUAUUAUCGUGCAUCCCUAGUGAUUGCCUCCAUGUUUUUCACAUCGUGGAAAUCGUAGGGUCCUAAGUUUCUGAAAUUUUUUAUAUUGUUAUACAGUAUACAUGUUUUUUGUUACGUUCUAUUAAAAUUCUGCUGAUGUUAUUUUAA